AAUGCACCAAUUUGUAAGUCGCUCUGGAUAAGAGUGUCUGCUAAAUUACUUAAA
Salmo salar (Atlantic salmon) is the source of this 54-nucleotide non-coding RNA. NCBI's taxonomy places the organism in Eukaryota, Metazoa, Chordata, Actinopteri, Salmoniformes, Salmonidae. The record is from Rfam.